AGCGAACGCUGGCGGCAGGCCUAACACAUGCAAGUCGAACGAACCUUUCGGGGUUAGUGGCGGACGGGUGUGUAACACGUGGGAACGUGCCCUUAUGUUCGGAAUAACUCAGGGAAACUUGUGCUAAUACCGAAUGUGCCCUUCGGGGGAAAGAUUAAUCGCCUUUAGAGCGGCCCGCGUCUGAUUAGCUAGUUGGUUGAGGUAAUGGCUCACCAAAGCGACGAUCAGUAGCUGGUCUGAGAGGAUGAUCAGCCACAUUGGGACUGGGACGCGGCACAAACUCCUACGGGAGGCAGCAGUGGGGAAUCUUGCGCAAUGGGCGAAAGCCUGACGCAGCCAUGCCGCGUGAAUGAUGAAGGUCUUAGGAUUGUAAAAUUCUUUCACCGGGGACGAUAAUGACGGUACCCGGAGAAGAAGCCCCGGCUAACUUCGUG
This 434-nucleotide ribosomal RNA is filed under the name uncultured bacterium. RNAcentral's name for it is "partial 16S ribosomal RNA". It matches the Rfam family "Bacterial small subunit ribosomal RNA", at positions 29 to 507 of the family's 1533-position model. The record is from RNAcentral.